Long non-coding RNA from Phoenix dactylifera (date palm), 1006 nucleotides. RefSeq lists it as uncharacterized. NCBI's taxonomy places the organism in Eukaryota, Viridiplantae, Streptophyta, Magnoliopsida, Arecales, Arecaceae. The record is from RefSeq and is a predicted model, not a curated record.
AUAAAUUCUUGCUGCAAAUAUGAUUUCAUCAAAAAGAAAAUAAAGUUGCCUAUAGGCCAAUCCAAUAAGUUUUUUGGUCAAUGGGAAAGUGUCGCAAUAUUUGAAAUCAAUUGUUCCUGAACUGUUUUUGCUCCAAAAAAGGGUUCUUAUCUUGGUUUGUGAGAUUAAUGUCCGCUUCAGAAAGGUGAAUGGUAGAAAAGAUUUCUGAGCGAGAUCUUGAACAAGUACCUGGAGAGGAAGUGAUGAAGAACGACAUGAACCGCAAACAGGUGGCCACCGCAGUGCACAACUCCAAAUCUGAUUCAGUCGCUGUUCCUCCUCAAGUACCGUUUGUAACUCGGCCACCUACGACACAACUGCCCGUUGAAUAGCUUGUUUGUUUGUGCUAUCUCAGAAAGAAGGAAACCCAAGACAAAAUUAUGGGCCAUCAACUCCUACCUCUUUCUCAAGAGCUCAAGGUUUGAUCUCCGAGCGUUCUAAUGGGAAGGGGUGCCGGCAAAAGCCAGAGGUGAGUUCAUUCAAGGCCUUCGGUGCUGAUAUUAAUGCUUUGGAGUUAGCUGGCGUCGUCAGAGACUCGGAAAUGAACGGUGGAGGAAGGUUGCCAUGGGGAGUUGCCUGCUCCGUGUUCUUCCCAUGCACCACCUUUGCAGGUAGAGCUUCUAACAUGGAAUGCAUGACCGGCUUUAAAUCUAAAGCGGUUGGGGCUUGGCAUCAAGGCAAUGGGGCAUUAAAGUCUCUCUUUUUUCCAUUCUCCUCUUUAUACGGAGAUGACAGGUCGGUAAUUACGAAUUCUUUGAUAAAUUGCUGGGGAACGCCUUCAGAGCUAUAUAACAAUGGUAACCAUAAACAGGCUAUGAACAAUGACAUGGCCCAGAAUCUCCAUCACUCAUCAUGAUAUUAUAGUAAACCUUUGUAUAUUUCACUCGUCACAAGAAGUCUUGAUGGAUUUUGUUGUUGUCUACUAGAACCAUAAUUAAGUGUGAUAAGGAACUUCUUUCUUCGCGCA